GAUGAACGCUAGCUACAGGCUUAACACAUGCAAGUCGAGGGGCAGCAUGGUCUUAGCUUGCUAAGGCCGAUGGCGACCGGCGCACGGGUGAGUAACACGUAUCCAACCUGCCGACUACUCUUGGACAGCCUUCUGAAAGGAAGAUUAAUACAAGAUGGCAUCAUGAGUCCGCAUGUUCACAUGAUUAACGGUAUUCCGGUAGACGAUGGGGAUGCGUUCCAUUAGAUAGUAGGCGGGGUAACGGCCCACCUAGUCUUCGAUGGAUAGGGGUGCUGAGAGGAAGGUCCACCACAUUGGAACUACGACACGGUCCAAACUCCUACGGAGGGCAGCAGUGUAGAAUAUUAGUCGAUGAACGCAGACCUGAACCAGCCGAGUAGCGUGAAGGAGGACUGCCCUAGGAGUUGUAAUCUUCUUUGAUAGAGGAAUAAAGUCGGGUAUGUAUACCCUUUUGCAUGUACUUAAUGAAUAAGGAUCGGCUAACUCCGUG
RNAcentral lists this ribosomal RNA (490 nucleotides) under uncultured bacterium. Its description in RNAcentral is "partial 16S ribosomal RNA". It matches the Rfam family "Bacterial small subunit ribosomal RNA", at positions 28 to 507 of the family's 1533-position model. The record is from RNAcentral.